RNAcentral lists this long non-coding RNA (721 nucleotides) under Parus major (Great Tit). Its description in RNAcentral is "lncRNA (ENSPMJG00000011653.1)". The record is from RNAcentral. Lineage: Eukaryota; Metazoa; Chordata; Aves; Passeriformes; Paridae.
AUUGGAAUGCCAAAAGUCAUGUGGGUGAAUGAUGUAAGGAUAGGACAUGCAUGAAUAAAUUGGUGGAUAAAUAAGCUGUAGAUGGGUUCUGCUCUGCAGGCCACUUUCAGCAGCAAGCAGAACUCCUCCUCUCCUUCUUUAAGAGAUCUGUUCAGCCUUGAAGAUGUCAAGCUCAUGGUGACGGAAGGUUGGUUGAAAGCUCCAUACAAUCCUGACAAAGUCAUCUCACUCCACAAGCAGAGUUUAUUGCGGUCUAUAUCAUCCUUACAUAUCAUCCCUGUUGCUUCCUCAGAGUGGGAAAUAAGAAGCAAUCAUAAUCCUUUAUCAAUACAUCAUAUUCUCUUCAUGGUUAUGCUGCCUAUUUUUUCUUUCAGAGAAAGGAAAGAGAAGAGAAAGAAGAAAGUAAAGAAAAUAAAAGAAAUAAAGAAAACAAAUAUUUAAAUAAUUUUUUUUAAAAAAAUACUUUAAUGUUGCACCAUAUUAGACUAACCUGUAUGUUCUGAUGUAUCUUUGGUGAUGUUUUUGCCAUGAUGAUUUUAACUGAGGAAUGUUUCCUUUACAAGGAACCUGAAAAAAAUUCCAACACCCAGAACCAGCAAUCAACCAUCACCCCCAUCACAUCACCACCACCACAAAAAAUAUACCACAAAACAUGGUUAUGUAACUGCUCUGUAAUACAAAAAAAAAUAAAAUUAAAAAAUAAAAAUUUAUAGUGUUAUUG